UACGUAGGGUGCAAGCGUUGUCCGGAAUUAUUGGGCGUAAAGAGCUCGUAGGCGGUCUGUCGCGUCUGCUGUGAAAACUCAGGGCUCAACCCUGGGCGUGCAGUGGGUACGGGCAGACUGGAGUGCAGUAGGGGAGACUGGAAUUCCUGGUGUAGCGGUGAAAUGCGCAGAUAUCAGGAGGAACACCGGUGGCGAAGGCGGGUCUCUGGGCUGUUACUGACGCUGAGGAGCGAAAGCGUGGGGAGCGAACAGG
Molecule: ribosomal RNA, 253 nt
Filed under: uncultured bacterium
Lineage: Bacteria
Description: partial 16S ribosomal RNA
Rfam family: Bacterial small subunit ribosomal RNA
Source: RNAcentral